RNAcentral lists this long non-coding RNA (231 nucleotides) under Homo sapiens (human). RNAcentral's name for it is "non-protein coding TMSB15B-AS1:12". The record is from RNAcentral. Lineage: Eukaryota; Metazoa; Chordata; Mammalia; Primates; Hominidae.
ACAGGGCUGCUGAGAAGAAAGGAGACAGGCGCAUCCGCACACAGAAAGCACUCAGUAAAUGCUGUUUCCCCCCUUCCCCCUAUACAAAGAGCUAUGGGGACCGGAAGGCGAAACAGAGCUGUCGACGCGGGAGCAUACGCUGCCCACCAGUGGAGCGCAGGUAAAGAAAGAGCGCGCGAUUUCCCGGCGCGGAGAGGGGUGGGGGAAGCCCCACCAGGACUGGGCGGCGCC